AUUGAACGCUGGCGGCAGGCCUAACACAUGCAAGUCGAACGAGUGGCGGACGGGUGAGUAAUAUAUGGGAAACUGCCUGAUGGCGGGGGAUAACUACUGGAAAGAGUAGCUAAUACCGCAUACCAUCGGAUGUGCCCAGAUGGGAUUAGCUAGUAGGUGGGGUAACGGCUCACCAAGGCGACGAUCCUUAGCUGGUCUGAGAGGAUGACCAGCCACACUGGAACUGCGACACGGCCCAGACUCCUACGGGAGGCAGCAGUGGGGAAUUUUGCACAAUGGGCGAAAGCCUGAUCCAGCCAUGCCGCGUGUAUGAUGAAGGCCUUCGGGUUGUAAAGUACUUUCAGCUGGGAAGCGGUAUCUGCAGAAUAAGCACCGGCUAACUCCGUGCCAGCAGCCGCGGUAAUUC
This 406-nucleotide ribosomal RNA is filed under the name uncultured bacterium. RNAcentral describes it as "partial 16S ribosomal RNA". It matches the Rfam family "Bacterial small subunit ribosomal RNA", at positions 30 to 526 of the family's 1533-position model. The record is from RNAcentral.